RNAcentral lists this ribosomal RNA (253 nucleotides) under uncultured bacterium. RNAcentral's name for it is "partial 16S ribosomal RNA". It matches the Rfam family "Bacterial small subunit ribosomal RNA", at positions 524 to 776 of the family's 1533-position model. The record is from RNAcentral.
GACGGAGGGUGCAAGCGUUGUUCGGAAUUACUGGGCGUAAAGCGCGUGUAGGCGGGUCGUUAAGUCAGGGGUGAAAUGCCAAGGCUCAACCUUGGAACUGCCUUUGAUACUGGAGACCUUGAGUCCGGGAGAGGUGAGUGGAACUGCGAGUGUAGAGGUGAAAUUCGUAGAUAUUCGCAAGAACACCAGUGGCGAAGGCGGCUCACUGGCCCGGAACUGACGCUGAGACGCGAAAGCGUGGGGAGCAAACAGG